GGAUGAAGAACGUAGCGAAAUGCGAUACGUAAUGUGAAUUGCAGAAUUCAGUGAAUCAUCGAGUCUUUGAACGCACAUUGCGCCCCCUGGUAUUCCGGGGGGCAUGCCUGUCCGAGCGUCAUUGCUGCCCCCAAGCACGGCUUGUGUGUUGGGCCUCCGUCCUCCUCCCGGGGGACGGGCCCGAAAGGCAGCGGCGGCACCGCGUCCGGUCCUCGAGCGUAUGGGGCUUCGUCACCCGCUCUUGUAGGCCCGGCCGGCGCUUGCCGACACAUCAAUCUUUUUUCCAGGUUGACCUCGGAUCAGGUAGGGAUACCCGCUGAACUUAAGCAUAUCAAUAAGCGGAGGA
Molecule: unclassified non-coding RNA, 346 nt
Filed under: soil metagenome
Description: partial contains 5.8S ribosomal RNA, internal transcribed spacer 2, and large subunit ribosomal RNA
Rfam family: 5.8S ribosomal RNA (bases 2-121)
Source: RNAcentral